GCCGCCUUAGCUCAGCUGGUUAGAGCAUCUGUCUUGUAAACAGAAGGUCGUCGGUUCGAAUCCGACAGGCGGCUCCA
Molecule: transfer RNA, 77 nt
Filed under: Streptomyces armeniacus
Lineage: Bacteria; Bacillati; Actinomycetota; Actinomycetes; Kitasatosporales; Streptomycetaceae
Also listed under: 14 other names
Description: tRNA-Thr
Rfam family: tRNA
About the family: Transfer RNA (tRNA) molecules are approximately 80 nucleotides in length. Their secondary structure includes four short double-helical elements and three loops (D, anti-codon, and T loops). Further hydrogen bonds mediate the characteristic L-shaped molecular structure. tRNAs have two regions of fundamental functional importance: the anti-codon, which is responsible for specific mRNA codon recognition, and the 3' end, to which the tRNAs corresponding amino acid is attached (by aminoacyl-tRNA synthetases). tRNAs cope with the degeneracy of the genetic code in two manners: having more than one tRNA (with a specific anti-codon) for a particular amino acid; and 'wobble' base-pairing, i.e. permitting non-standard base-pairing at the 3rd anti-codon position.
Source: RNAcentral